RNAcentral lists this unclassified non-coding RNA (386 nucleotides) under Hevea brasiliensis (rubber tree). The record is from RNAcentral. Lineage: Eukaryota; Viridiplantae; Streptophyta; Magnoliopsida; Malpighiales; Euphorbiaceae.
CCAAUGGUACAAUGGCCUGACAAAUCAUUUACGUUAGGUUUUGAACAAGCCUUAGCAUGGCAGAGAUCAGGUCUAAUGGUGAGGCCUACAUUUCAGUUCAGUUUGUGCCCAACUUUGGGUGGAAGCAAUCCUGGGUUGCGAGCAGAACUUAUUCAUUCAGUAAAUGAACAACUGAAUCUGAUCUGCGGCUGUGCAUUCAUGACACACCCUUCCAUAUUUGCAUCACUGUCUAUUGGCCGGUCUAAGUGGAAUGGUAGCACCGGGAGUUCAGGAAUUGUUGUUAGAGUUGAUAGUCCGCUCUCUGAUGUUGGUCGACCAUCGUUUUCCGUUCAGAUAAAUAGCGGCAUUGAGUUUUGAACGUCUGGCAUCACAUAUCUUGCAUUAGG